CCAGACUCCUACGGGAGGCAGCAGUGGGGAAUAUUGCACAAUGGGGGAAACCCUGAUGCAGCAACGCCGCGUGAGUGAAGAAGUCAUUCGUGAUGUAAAGCCCUGUCAGCAGGGAAGAAAAUGACGGUACCUGAAGAAGAAGCCCCGGCUAACUACGCGCCAGCAGCCGCGGUAAUACGUAGGGGGCAAGCGUUAUCCGGAUUUACUGGGUGUAAAGGGGGCGCAGACGGCGAUGCAAGCCAGGAGUGAAAGCCCGGGGCCCAACCCCGGGACUGCUCUUGGAACUGCGUGGCUGGAGUGCAGGAGGGGCAGGCGGAAUUCCUGGUGUAGCGGUGAAAUGCGUAGAUAUCAGGAGGAACACCGGCGGCGAAGGCGGCCUGCUGGACCGUGACUGACGUUGAGGCUCGAGAGCGUGGGGAGCAAACAGGAUUAGAUACCCGGGUAC
Molecule: ribosomal RNA, 445 nt
Filed under: uncultured bacterium
Lineage: Bacteria
Description: bacterial SSU rRNA
Rfam family: Bacterial small subunit ribosomal RNA
Source: RNAcentral